RNAcentral lists this ribosomal RNA (490 nucleotides) under uncultured bacterium. RNAcentral's name for it is "partial 16S ribosomal RNA". It matches the Rfam family "Bacterial small subunit ribosomal RNA", at positions 30 to 507 of the family's 1533-position model. The record is from RNAcentral.
AUUGAACGCUGGCGGCAGGCCUAACACAUGCAAGUCGAACGGUAACAGGGAUCAGCUUGCUGAUUCGCUGACGAGUGGCGGACGGGUGAGUAAUGUCUGGGAAACUGCCUGAUGGAGGGGGAUAACUACUGGAAACGGUAGCUAAUACCGCAUAACGUCGCAAGACCAAAGAGGGGGACCUUCGGGCCUCUUGCCAUCGGAUGUGCCCAGAUGGGAUUAGCUAGUAGGUGGGGUAACGGCUCACCUGGGCGACGAUCCCUAGCUGGUCUGAGAGGAUGACCAGCCACACUGGAACUGAGACACGGUCCAGACUCCUACGGGAGGCAGCAGUGGGGAAUAUUGAACAAUGGGCGCAAGUCUGAUGCAGCCAUGCCGCGUGUAUGAAGAAGGACUUCGGGUUGUAAAGUACUUUCAGCGGGGAGGAAGGGAGUAAAGUUAAUACCUUUGCUCAUUGACGUUACCCGCAGAAGAAGCACCGGCUAACUCCGUG